AUCUGUUACAGAUUAUUUUCACAAGAUUGUGGAUCGGUGGGAUAAGUCAUGUGUGACAUCAGACCUCAACUCUGACUAGGAGCAAGAAUGUCAAACAGUCCGACAACAUAUCAAGUGAAAUUAUUAGCUUGUUCUUUUAUUACUUUAGGAUGACCUAGGAAAGUAUCAAGUAGUCAUAUCUGAGUGAAAUAUAUCCAAAUAGGCAAUUACUCUAGUAAAAUAUAUCUUGAUUAAAAUAAUCUGGUAAAACAUGUGUUGAUUAAAUUAACUCUUCCAUACAUAGUCCCAAAAGACUCAGGUCAUCCUCCUCAUUAGCCUCGGAGGAGGUAGAUAUCUUCCAACAUUUUUCAACCAUAACUCUCCCCUAAAAAAAAAGUUAAGAAGGCUGCUCUUAAAGCCCCUCCUCAAUUGCAAUUUCUUGUGAGCCUGAAGACAAACCACCAAAAUGGCAUCAGUUGUGGUAAGCAACUUGAAACAGAAAGGGCAGAAAGGUAAGAUAUGAAGUAACAUUAUACUCAUUUUGAUGUUUGUUCUUUAAGUCAGUAGCCAUCCAGGUCCAAGUUCCAGCCAACUGAGUGGACCUGGUUCACAGGCCAGACCAGCAUCGGCCUUUCCAGGACUGAGUUGAAUGGAUGAAAUGGAGACCAGAUCACCGGCAUUUGGGAAAAGGCCAGGGGGCUCAUUCAUUGAGAUUGGAGGCCAGGAGUGGGGGUCCAACCUACAACUUCAAGUCAAAUGGAAAAAAGUAACACUCUCAGAACCCCAAGACUUUGUUUUCAGACCUGUGAGCAAAGUAUCCCACCAAACUGUGCAGGUACUUGUUUAACUGAGGCAUUAUGAUGCCUGCACCAACUGCAUCUCUGUUAACGCUCCUAAACGAGCAUGAAGAACGGCACACUUUGGCUUCCCCUAUGUGGCAAAACUAUACCAACAGCCACUACAAAUGUCAACUAAUGUGUAUCUUAAUAUAUAUGGAUAGUGGGCAAAUGGUUUGUUUAACAUUGAAAUGUGUUGAUAUUUCAUUUAAUAAUGAUGUGUUCUCAUGUGUCCAAUGGCAGUGGAAAGCCUAAUGAGGCUACUCCUGGUGAAGAUGGAACAACUUCACCAAAAGGUGGAGCAUUUAAGCUCACUGAUGCAGUUCAGUGGGAGAGCUCCAGACAUCCAACCCCAGGGGGAGGAGGAGGAACAAGUACUCCCCAUUACUAGCUUGGAGACCUCAAAGCGGUCCUCUACCAGGGGACAGAAUGUGAAGCAAACAGUAUGGCGUUUGUGCAGGAAGGUCUUCACAACAGACUUGGCAACCCAAUUGAACUGGUGCAGGAGGGGGCAGAAGACUGGCAUCCGGUCAAUGCCAGUGAAAGACGUUAUUAUGUGAACUAAUGUGGCAGGGAUUGAAAGGGCAGUUCAAAACUUGCUCAGGCUGCGCCAAGACAGACUCAGGGGACAGCAGUGAAAGGAGAGACCUGCAGAAGAAGAGGAAGAUUAAUUAGCACAAUUGUUGAGUGUUU
Molecule: long non-coding RNA, 1508 nt
Organism: Esox lucius (northern pike)
Lineage: Eukaryota; Metazoa; Chordata; Actinopteri; Esociformes; Esocidae
Exons: 6
Source: RefSeq, a predicted model, not a curated record